UUGAAGAUAGUGUUGAUGUAGAGAAACACAUGGGCACACAUACACACAUACAGUACACUCAUUCACAGACACACACACACACACACACACACACACACACACACACAGUAAACUCAUUCACAGACACACACAUAUAGUACACUCAUUCACAGACACACACACACAGUACACUCAUUCACACACACACACACACACACACACACACACACACAGUAAACUCAUUCACAGACACACACAUACAGUACACUCAUUCACAGACACACACACACACAGUACACUCAUUCACACACACACACACACACACACACACACACACACACACACACACACACACACACACAGUAAACUCAUUCACACACACACACACACACAGUACACUCAUUCACAGACACACACACACACACACAGGGGAUAAGGGGAAUAGAGUGGAUAGAGUGAGGAGAGGAGUGAGGAGAGGAGAGGAGAGAGUAGAGUGAGGAGAGGAGGGAGUGAGGAGAGGAGGAGAGGAUGAAAGGAGAGAGUAGAGUGAGGAGAGGAGGGAGUGAGGAGAGGAGAGGAGAGAGGAGAGUGAGGAGAGGAUGAAGUGAGGGGAGGAGAGGAGAGGAGAGGAGGAGGGAGAGGGGAGGAUGGGGAGGAGAGGAGAGGAGGAGGGAGAGGAGAGGAGGGAGAGGGGAGGAGAGAGUAGAGUGAGGAGAGGUUAAAGUGAGGAGAGGAUGGGACGGGAGAGGGGAGAGGAGAGGGUGAGAGAAAGGAGGAGAAAAGGGAAGAGGAAGAGGAAUGAAGAGUGGAGAGGAGGGAUGGAUAGAAGAGAGAAGAGGUGAAGAGGAGAAGCAAAGAUGAGAGGGAAAAUAUGGGGAUGCGAGAAGAGGAGAGGAGAGGAGAGGAGAAUGAAAUCUAUUUCCUGCAGGCUGAGGCCUCUCUGUGGUGUGUGUGUGUGUGUGUGUGUGUGUGAUGGGCAAAGGGGUCAUCUCUUAAGGGUGUGAGAUGAUAGACUGAGGUCUCUCUGGUGUGUGUGUGUGUGUGUGUAAUGGGCA
This is a long non-coding RNA of Clupea harengus (Atlantic herring), 1034 nucleotides long. The record is from Ensembl. Lineage: Eukaryota; Metazoa; Chordata; Actinopteri; Clupeiformes; Clupeidae.